AUUGAACGCUAGCGGGAUGCCUUACACAUGCAAGUCGAACGGAGUGGCGAACGGGUGAGUAAUGUAUCGGUAUGUGCACAGUCGCGGGGGAUAACUAUGCGAAAGCGUAGCUAAUACCGCAUACUAUUGGAGCGGCCGAUAUCGGAUUAGCUAGUUGGUGGGGUAACGGUUCACCAAGGCGACGAUCCGUAGCUGGUUUGAGAGGACGACCAGCCACACUGGGACUGAGACACGGCCCAGACUCCUACGGGAGGCAGCAGUGGGGAAUUUUGGACAAUGGGGGAAAGCCUGAUCCAGCCAUCCCGCGUGUGCGAUGAAGGCCUUCGGGUUGUAAAGCACUUUUAGCGGGGAAGCGGUACCUGCAGAAUAAGCACCGGCUAACUACGUGCCAGCAGCCGCGGUAAUUC
Molecule: ribosomal RNA, 407 nt
Filed under: uncultured bacterium
Lineage: Bacteria
Description: partial 16S ribosomal RNA
Rfam family: Bacterial small subunit ribosomal RNA
Source: RNAcentral